Molecule: ribosomal RNA, 645 nt
Filed under: Toxoplasma gondii ME49
Lineage: Eukaryota; Apicomplexa; Conoidasida; Eucoccidiorida; Sarcocystidae
Description: Toxoplasma gondii rRNA TGME49_461290
Rfam family: Eukaryotic small subunit ribosomal RNA
Source: RNAcentral
UCAUAUGCUUGUCUUAAAGAUUAAGCCAUGCAUGUCUAAGUAUAAGCUUUUAUACGGCUAAACUGCGAAUGGCUCAUUAAAACAGUUAUAGUUUAUUUGAUGGUCUUUACACAUGGAUAACCGUGGUAAUUCUAUGGCUAAUACAUGCGCACAUGCCUCUUCCCCUGGAAGGGCAGUGUUUAUUAGAUACAGAACCAACCCACCUUCCGGUGGUCCUCAGGUGAUUCAUAGUAACCGAACGGAUCGCGUUGACUUCGGUCUGCGACGGAUCAUUCAAGUUUCUGACCUAUCAGCUUUCGACGGUACUGUAUUGGACUACCGUGGCAGUGACGGGUAACGGGGAAUUAGGGUUCGAUUCCGGAGAGGGAGCCUGAGAAACGGCUACCACAUCUAAGGAAGGCAGCAGGCGCGCAAAUUACCCAAUCCUGAUUCAGGGAGGUAGUGACAAGAAAUAACAACACUGGAAAUUUCAUUUCUAGUGAUUGGAAUGAUAGGAAUCCAAACCCCUUUCAGAGUAACAAUUGGAGGGCAAGUCUGGUGCCAGCAGCCGCGGUAAUUCCAGCUCCAAUAGCGUAUAUUAAAGUUGUUGCAGUUAAAAAGCUCGUAGUUGGAUUUCUGCUGGAAGCAGCCAGUCCGCCCUCAGGG